AUGAAUGUGUCCAAUCAACUUGAGUUCCAGAGUGUACCAGGCUUCCCCUCAGACUGGAAGCUGAGCUGGAAGGUGGAUAGGAGCAGUAGCAGCACCUGGGAGGUGACCGGGAGCCCUGGGGUCCUGGAGAAGGACGGCCACUACAGCUGGAGCAGCACCCUGAGCCUUCCUGUCGACCAGUGGAGGAAGGUCAGCUCUGUGACCUGUGAGGCCACCCAGGGCUCCCAGUCUCCACUCUCUGAGACACUGAGGAGAGACCAGUGUUCUGACGAAUGAGCUCCUUCUCUGACUCCACAGUUUUACUCUGUUCUGCACUCAGCGCCUCUUCGUCUUACUGAUCCAGCACUACUAGUACCACAGGAGGUUGGUGGCACCUUCAUUGGGGAGGACGGCUCAUAGUUAUGGCUGGAAC
Non-coding RNA from Coregonus clupeaformis (lake whitefish), 412 nucleotides. NCBI's taxonomy places the organism in Eukaryota, Metazoa, Chordata, Actinopteri, Salmoniformes, Salmonidae. The record is from the annotation of a RefSeq genome assembly.